CCUACGGGGGGCAGCAGUAAGGAAUAUUGGUCAAUGGACGGAAGUCUGAACCAGCCAUCCCGCGUGCAGGAUGAAGGUCCUAUGGAUUGUAAACUGCUUUUAGCAGAGACGAAACGCUUUCAUUUAUGAGAGUCUGACGGUAUCUGCAGAAUAAGCACCGGCUAACUCCGUGCCAGCAGCCGCGGUAAUACGGAGGGUGCAAGCGUUAUCCGGAAUCACUGGGUUUAAAGGGUGCGUAGGCGGGAAAUUAAGUCAGUGGUGAAAUCCUGUCGCUUAACGAUAGAACUGCCAUUGAUACUGAUUUUCUUGAAUUGGGUUGAGGUUAGCGGAAUGUGACAUGUAGCGGUGAAAUGCAUAGAUAUGUCAUGGAACACCAAUUGCGAAGGCAGCUAACUGGGCCUUGAUUGACGCUGAGGCACGAAAGCGUGGGUAGCGAACAGGAUUAGAUACCCGUGUAGUC
RNAcentral lists this ribosomal RNA (460 nucleotides) under uncultured Saprospiraceae bacterium. RNAcentral describes it as "bacterial SSU rRNA". It matches the Rfam family "Bacterial small subunit ribosomal RNA", at positions 338 to 795 of the family's 1533-position model. The record is from RNAcentral. Lineage: Bacteria; Pseudomonadati; Bacteroidota; Saprospiria; Saprospirales; Saprospiraceae.